Molecule: ribosomal RNA, 301 nt
Filed under: uncultured bacterium
Lineage: Bacteria
Description: partial 16S ribosomal RNA
Rfam family: Bacterial small subunit ribosomal RNA
Source: RNAcentral
CAGUAGCCGCGGUAAUACAGAGGGUGCAAGCGUUAAUCGGAAUUACUGGGCGUAAAGCGCGCGUAGGUGGUUUGUUAAGUUGAAUGUGAAAUCCCCGGGCUCAACCUGGGAACUGCAUCCAAAACUGGCAAGCUAGAGUAGGGCAGAGGGUGGUGGAAUUUCCUGUGUAGCGGUGAAAUGCGUAGAUAUAGGAAGGAACACCAGUGGCGAAGGCGACCACCUGGGCUCAUACUGACACUGAGGUGCGAAAGCGUGGGGAGCAAACAGGAUUAGAUACCCCUGUAGUCCCUGUCUCUUAUAC